GAGGCCAGGAAGGCUGCCGGGGAGGUGGAAGACGAGGGUACCGAAGAGCUGGGGGCCGACGCGGAGACCCAACCCAGCAGCACUAGCGCCAGCCUUGCCAACCUCAGCCGUCCGUCCCCGGCGGAGGGGCCCCGGGAGCCCGCCCCAGGCAUCGCGGCUCGCGGUUCCCCGGAGCUGGGACAGCGCCCGCUCCGAAGACUCGACCGCCUGGGCCCGGCGGGCGCGAGCCGGCCGCAAGCGUCGACGGCAAACUUUCCUCGCGUGGGAGCAGAGGAGGGGACGCCAAAAGCUGGAACUUGGCUAACCCCGAGCCACCGGGCGUCCCCCUCCCGGAGCGGCACCCCGCCCUUCCCUCCAGUGAGUACGCACGGCGGGUCGGGACACGGGCCUUGGCGCUCCUCCUCCCGCCGCAGCUGGGGUGGGUGGCACCUCCUCAACUCCUUUGUUGGCGCCUCUCUCAGGGCAGGAUCGGAUGAGCGACCUGGGACAAGCGGGAGAGAAGCGUGAGGAGGAGUGACGGCCGCAGCUCCCCGAGUACGAACCAAGUAGUCCCCACACUAGCAACCCGGCCCAAGCUUCUGUGUGCGUCCUUCCUCCCUAGUGGGACGCGGUCCCCACUCCCAGGCGCUAAGCCUACCUCUUCCGGGCCCACACCAUCAGGACCCGGGCCACCUCCCGCCUGGCUCCUGCCCGGAUUGCCCUCCUCCCGCCUAGAACUUCACGCAGACCCCGCGGUGUCCAGCGAGCAAACUUCUCCUUUUUCCGGAUCCCAGCUCCUACCGCCCCGGCCGACCACCUGCCUUCCGGGGUCCCCGCCCCCGCCGCUCCUCCCCCUCCCACCUUGGGAUGAGAGCGAAGUUUCGGGUUACGGGACUCUUAAGAGCUUUUUUUUUUUUUUGGUACCUCCUUGGAUUAGUGUGAAAAGGGGAGCAGAGCCGUACAGCUGUCGCCUACUCUCGACUCCCCAGUUCCUGGCCACCCAGCUCCCCGAUCCCGAGAGGAUCCAGACAUCUCCAGAAAAACGGAGGGAACCCGCCAACAAAGCGGCCGUGGGACCGUGGGCGGUGUGGCAGCCAGGACCCCCCCCCCCCCGGCUCUCUUCACGCCCUAGUAUAGAAAGGAACCCUGGUCCCGCCUCCAGGCUCCAAACCUGGCCGCUCGGUCCCCACUGCUCACCUCCGCACCCCGCGCCUGCAAAGCCAACUCCGAGGGCCACCCGAGUCCACGCGCCUUCCCAGCUCCUGCUGCGGGCGCCGACUCUCCUCUCAACCCCAGCCCCUGGCCCAACCUCCACGGCUGGGAAAAACCAAGCCGGGGGGCGGGGGAGGGCCAGGGCUGCAGGAGAGAUCGCCGCCGCGCUGGCCACCUCUGCUGCCCCAGGUGGAAGCAGAAGGAGCAGAAGUUCCAGCUCACCUUCGGCUACGAGAUGACUUUGAGAUGACCUGGAGAAAGACCCUGUCUUGAAACAAUCCCAGAAAGAAGAGCAGGCUGAGCCAUUGUCAAGCCAGCUCAUCAGACAGAUCACUGGAAGAAAAAAACCUGACAAGACGCCGCAAGAAAAGGAAACCACAGAGCGCGACCACGUAUGAUUGUAGAUGUAACAUCCUUCCGCUAAAUUAAACCUAAUCAAACCCAGAGACAAGCAAAAAUGACUGUAAUCCAUGACUACGCAGGAUUCACAUCUAGGAAUACAAGGAUGCUUAAAUGAAAAGAAAUUGACUGUGGCAAUACAAAUUACCAAUGGAAACAAAAGAAAACAAACAAACAGACAGAAACAAAAUAUGGCCAUACCAUCUGAUGUGGUAGAGUAUUUAGCAAUAUUCACCAUCCAGUCUGAUAAAAGAAAACACCCUGCCUAAUAUAAAUGAAAGAAGUCCCUAUUCUGGUUAAGAGUACCAGAAACCAAACUAAUACCACAAAGAGCACACCUACAAUGGCAUGUAAUGGCAGGAGAUAUGAUUUCCUGUUAUACUGAUGAUGCACAGGGGAGAAUAUGCUGCAGCCUUAAACAUUCAUAAAAUGAAGAGUUAUAUUUUUAAUUUCUUGUGAUUUUUUUAUAUAAUAAAAAGUCACAUUGUCAGAGAAUAGAGUUGGUCUGUCUCCUCCUGCCUAGUCUGACUGCCUCAUGUUCUUGCCUGAUUGUCUUAUGUGGCAUGCCCAAUACAAUCUUGAAAAAAAGCUAGGUAAGAGCAGACAUCCUUGUUUUGGUAUUUACUAUCAUGUGAAACCAUUCUGUCUUUAAGCAUUAAAUGUUAUCUUAGCUGUGGAGUUUUACUUCUUGCUGCUAUUACUGUUUUUUUAUAUCUCAAUUUAAUAGAAUUUCAUUGACACACU
This 2334-nucleotide long non-coding RNA is filed under the name Mus musculus (house mouse). RNAcentral describes it as "RIKEN cDNA 9330154J02 gene". Lineage: Eukaryota; Metazoa; Chordata; Mammalia; Rodentia; Muridae. The record is from RNAcentral.